CCUCAACUGGAGUGGCCUGAUAAGAAAACUGAAUGACAGUACCAGAACCGUCGCUGGGCCUUGGGACCCCUCCUGAUCGCCUUUGGGGUUUUGUCGGGGACAAUAGAAGACCGUUAAACGUGCUAUGGGUUAAGGAUAGAGGCUCGAACCAACCAUGGGAAGCCCUGAAUCGAGGGUAGACGCGAAGCAGCAGGAUCUAAGCCGAUGGACCCGUGAGCAAGAAGAAACUGGUUUACCU
Molecule: unclassified non-coding RNA, 238 nt
Filed under: Bombus terrestris (buff-tailed bumblebee)
Lineage: Eukaryota; Metazoa; Arthropoda; Insecta; Hymenoptera; Apidae
Description: misc RNA ENSBTSG00005034522.1
Source: RNAcentral